Molecule: microRNA, 19 nt
Filed under: Anolis carolinensis (green anole)
Lineage: Eukaryota; Metazoa; Chordata; Lepidosauria; Squamata; Anolidae
Description: aca-miR-5396a
Source: miRBase by way of RNAcentral
CCGCACAACCAGCAAGAAG